GACCUACUCCUUCCGUUCGGAAUUACUUGUCUCGGAAAUGGAUGUAUCUAGAACUAAAAUACGUCUAGAUACAUCCAUUUCUGCGACAAGUAAUUCCGAACGGAGGGAGUAGUAG
This is a non-coding RNA of Triticum aestivum (bread wheat), 115 nucleotides long. The record is from Rfam. Lineage: Eukaryota; Viridiplantae; Streptophyta; Magnoliopsida; Poales; Poaceae.